Molecule: transfer RNA, 74 nt
Filed under: Streptomyces liliiviolaceus
Lineage: Bacteria; Bacillati; Actinomycetota; Actinomycetes; Kitasatosporales; Streptomycetaceae
Description: Streptomyces sp. BH-SS-21 tRNA-Leu
Rfam family: tRNA
About the family: Transfer RNA (tRNA) molecules are approximately 80 nucleotides in length. Their secondary structure includes four short double-helical elements and three loops (D, anti-codon, and T loops). Further hydrogen bonds mediate the characteristic L-shaped molecular structure. tRNAs have two regions of fundamental functional importance: the anti-codon, which is responsible for specific mRNA codon recognition, and the 3' end, to which the tRNAs corresponding amino acid is attached (by aminoacyl-tRNA synthetases). tRNAs cope with the degeneracy of the genetic code in two manners: having more than one tRNA (with a specific anti-codon) for a particular amino acid; and 'wobble' base-pairing, i.e. permitting non-standard base-pairing at the 3rd anti-codon position.
Source: RNAcentral
GGUGCUGUAGCUCAGCUGGUAGAGCGGGGAUCUCAAGAGUCCUGAGGCCGUGGGUUCGAGUCCCGCCGGCGCUA